AACGAACGCUGGCGGCAUGCCUAACACAUGCAAGUCGAACGAGACCUUCGGGUCUAGUGGCGCACGGGUUCGUAACGCGUGGGAACCUGCCCUUAGGUUCGGAAUAACUCCCCGAAAGGGGUGCUAAUACCGGAUAAUGUCUUCGGACCAAAGAUUUAUCGCCUUUGGAUGGGCCCGCGUUGGAUUAGCUAGUUGGUAGGGUAAAAGCCUACCAAGGCGACGAUCCAUAGCUGGUCUGAGAGGAUGAUCAGCCACACUGGGACUGAGACACGGCCCAGACUCCUACGGGAGGCAGCAGUGGGGAAUAGUGGAAAAUGGGGGAAAGCCUGAUCCAGCAAUGCCGCGUGAGUGAUGAAGGCCUUAGGGUUGUAAAGCUCUUUUAACCGGGAUGAUAAUGACAGUACCGGGAGAAUAAGCUCCGGCUAACUCCGUG
This 433-nucleotide ribosomal RNA is filed under the name uncultured bacterium. RNAcentral describes it as "partial 16S ribosomal RNA". It matches the Rfam family "Bacterial small subunit ribosomal RNA", at positions 29 to 507 of the family's 1533-position model. The record is from RNAcentral.